Molecule: ribosomal RNA, 1369 nt
Filed under: uncultured bacterium
Lineage: Bacteria
Description: bacterial SSU rRNA
Rfam family: Bacterial small subunit ribosomal RNA
Source: RNAcentral
GACGAACGCUGGCGGCGCGCCUAAUACAUGCAAGUAGAACGCUGAAGAGAGGAGCUUGCUCUUCUUGGAUGAGUUGCGAACGGGUGAGUAACGCGUAGGUAACCUGCCUUGUAGCGGGGGAUAACUAUUGGAAACGAUAGCUAAUACCGCAUAACAAUGGAUGACACAUGUCAUUUAUUUGAAAGGGGCAAUUGCUCCACUACAAGAUGGACCUGCGUUGUAUUAGCUAGUAGGUGAGGUAAUGGCUCACCUAGGCGACGAUACAUAGCCGACCUGAGAGGGUGAUCGGCCACACUGGGACUGAGACACGGCCCAGACUCCUACGGGAGGCAGCAGUAGGGAAUCUUCGGCAAUGGGGGCAACCCUGACCGAGCAACGCCGCGUGAGUGAAGAAGGUUUUCGGAUCGUAAAGCUCUGUUGUAAGUCAAGAACGGGUGUGAGAGUGGAAAGUUCACACUGUGACGGUAGCUUACCAGAAAGGGACGGCUAACUACGUGCCAGCAGCCGCGGUAAUACGUAGGUCCCGAGCGUUGUCCGGAUUUAUUGGGCGUAAAGCGAGCGCAGGCGGUUUGAUAAGUCUGAAGUUAAAGGCUGUGGCUCAACCAUAGUUCGCUUUGGAAACUGUCAAACUUGAGUGCAGAAGGGGAGAGUGGAAUUCCAUGUGUAGCGGUGAAAUGCGUAGAUAUAUGGAGGAACACCGGUGGCGAAAGCGGCUCUCUGGUCUGUAACUGACGCUGAGGCUCGAAAGCGUGGGGAGCGAACAGGAUUAGAUACCCUGGUAGUCCACGCCGUAAACGAUGAGUGCUAGGUGUUGGAUCCUUUCCGGGAUUCAGUGCCGCAGCUAACGCAUUAAGCACUCCGCCUGGGGAGUACGACCGCAAGGUUGAAACUCAAAGGAAUUGACGGGGGCCCGCACAAGCGGUGGAGCAUGUGGUUUAAUUCGAAGCAACGCGAAGAACCUUACCAGGUCUUGACAUCCCGAUGCUAUUUCUAGAGAUAGAAAGUUACUUCGGUACAUCGGUGACAGGUGGUGCAUGGUUGUCGUCAGCUCGUGUCGUGAGAUGUUGGGUUAAGUCCCGCAACGAGCGCAACCCCUAUUGUUAGUUGCCAUCAUUCAGUUGGGCACUCUAGCGAGACUGCCGGUAAUAAACCGGAGGAAGGUGGGGAUGACGUCAAAUCAUCAUGCCCCUUAUGACCUGGGCUACACACGUGCUACAAUGGUUGGUACAACGAGUUGCGAGUCGGUGACGGCGAGCUAAUCUCUUAAAGCCAAUCUCAGUUCGGAUUGUAGGCUGCAACUCGCCUACAUGAAGUCGGAAUCGCUAGUAAUCGCGGAUCAGCACGCCGCGGUGAAUACGUUCCCGGGCCU